UUUUUGGAGAGUUUGAUCUUGGCUCAGGACGAACGCUGGCGGCGUGCCUAAUACAUGCAAGUCGAGCGCUGGAAGCUAAUUUCAUCCCUUCGGGAUGAA
This 99-nucleotide ribosomal RNA is filed under the name Oceanobacillus caeni. Its description in RNAcentral is "partial 16S ribosomal RNA". It matches the Rfam family "Bacterial small subunit ribosomal RNA", at positions 1 to 102 of the family's 1533-position model. Lineage: Bacteria; Bacillati; Bacillota; Bacilli; Caryophanales; Bacillaceae. RNAcentral also lists the same sequence under 1 other name. The record is from RNAcentral.